RNAcentral lists this ribosomal RNA (246 nucleotides) under uncultured Actinomycetales bacterium. RNAcentral describes it as "partial 16S ribosomal RNA". It matches the Rfam family "Bacterial small subunit ribosomal RNA", at positions 87 to 334 of the family's 1533-position model. The record is from RNAcentral. Lineage: Bacteria; Bacillati; Actinomycetota; Actinomycetes; Actinomycetales.
GUGCUCGAGUGGCGAACGGGUGAGUAACACGUGAGUAACCUGCCCUCGACUUUGGGAUAACUUCAGGAAACUGGGGCUAAUACCGGAUAGGAGCUCCUGCCGCAUGGUGGGGGUUGGAAAGUUUCGGCGGUUGGGGAUGGACUCGCGGCUUAUCAGCUUGUUGGUGGGGUAGUGGCUUACCAAGGCUUUGACGGGUAGCCGGCCUGAGAGGGUGACCGGCCACAUUGGGACUGAGAUACGGCCCAG